This 737-nucleotide ribosomal RNA is filed under the name Gallibacterium anatis. RNAcentral describes it as "bacterial LSU rRNA". It matches the Rfam family "Bacterial large subunit ribosomal RNA", at positions 1 to 771 of the family's 2925-position model. Lineage: Bacteria; Pseudomonadati; Pseudomonadota; Gammaproteobacteria; Pasteurellales; Pasteurellaceae. The record is from RNAcentral.
GUUGUAUAGUUAAGUGACUAAGCGUACACGGUGGAUGCCUUGGCAAUCAGAGGCGAAGAAGGACGUGCUAAUCUGCGAAAAGCGUGGGGGAGUUGAUAAGAAGCGUAAAUCCCACGAUGUCCGAAUGGGGAAACCCGAUAGAUGAAGAAUCUAUCAUCCUUAUCUGAAUGUAUAGGAUAAGGAGGCAAACCAGGAGAACUGAAACAUCUCAGUACCCUGAGGAAAAGAAAUCAACCGAGAUUCUGCGAGUAGCGGCGAGCGAAAGUGGAGGAGCCGUUAGAGAUAGCGAGAUGGAAAGGAGAAUGAGUUGGGAAGCUCAAUCGAAGAGGGUGAUAAUCCCGUAUCCGAAAGUCAUGUUGUGGUACUAAGCUAACAAGAAGUAGGGCGAGACACGAGGAAUCUUGUCUGAAGAUGGGGGGACCAUCCUCCAAGGCUAAAUACUCCUGAUUGACCGAUAGUGAACCAGUACCGUGAGGGAAAGGCGAAAAGAACCCCGGGAGGGGAGUGAAAGAGAACCUGAAACCGUGUACGUACAAGCAGUGGGAGCGUGGAGAAAUCUAUGUGACUGCGUACCUUUUGUAUAAUGGGUCAGCGAGUUAUAUUUUGUAGCGAGGUUAACUGAAUAAGGAAGCCGAAGGGAAACCGAGUCUUAACUGGGCGGCAAGUUGCAAGGUAUAGACCCGAAACCCGGUGAUCUAGCCAUGGUCAGGUUGAAGGUUGGGUAACACUAACUGGAG